This 227-nucleotide long non-coding RNA is filed under the name Glycine max (soybean). Its description in RNAcentral is "long non-coding RNA (GMAX_LNC000398)". Lineage: Eukaryota; Viridiplantae; Streptophyta; Magnoliopsida; Fabales; Fabaceae. The record is from RNAcentral.
UUGGAAGUAAGUUGGGAGCCUCCGCUAGGUCACCCUACUUCCAUUUGUGUGUAAUAAUUUUAGGCAAUUUCCCCUUAGGAUAGUGAGUGUUUUGUUGGGAACCUUAAAUGAGGUCAUCCAAACACUCUUAGGAUCCGCCUAGUUUGCAUUUCUUGCACUUUAAUUUCUUGCUUAUUUUCAUAGCUUAUUUCCUUUACCCUCCAUUGUCAAACUACCUAGAUAGCUUG